This is a long non-coding RNA of Myzus persicae (green peach aphid), 1023 nucleotides long. RefSeq lists it as uncharacterized. The transcript is spliced from 4 exons. Lineage: Eukaryota; Metazoa; Arthropoda; Insecta; Hemiptera; Aphididae. The record is from RefSeq and is a predicted model, not a curated record.
GAUUCGGUGAUCGUUCUGGGCUAUAGCGCUACCGGUGGUAAAGUAGAAUAUUUUAUUAAAAGUUUAAACUUAAAAACAUGAACGUCUGUAGAGUGUAUGACUAUUGUGGUAUGACCACUAUGACUUGUUAUUGAGUCCGUGUAACUGUGUAAGCGAUCUACGGCCAAGUCUUUCGCAAUCGUGGUUCUGAAGUUGGUACAUUAUGGUCUGGUAGUCCUAGAUCCGAGAAAGUACACCUAUAUAGGAGCUAGUUUUUUAAAUAUUGCAUUUUAAACAAGGAGAAACGAAUAUUUUUAUGUUUGGUUGACAUUGGUUACAAAAAAUGAAAUAGUUACCUAUUAUGAUAAUUCGAUAUAAUUUUAGACCUGUAUUUUGUACUUGCUCAAAACACUUAAAAAUGACUUCAAAAAUUGUGUAGCUUGGACAUUAAACUACGGAGACCCGGAGUACCCGGAGGCAGAGUAAAUCCGCUGGCAUUAUUAUUCAUUUGCGAUGGGCGACACCGUACACGAAUACACGUUAAACUAGACACCCAGUUAAUAAUAAAAUAUUUAAAUACUAAAUGUAAAAUUACCUGCUUAUUAUUUAUUUCAUGAAUUCAUGAAAAAAUAUUAUGUAUAUGAUACAUAUCAUGUAUCUAUGAUCGGACUAUGACUAUCGGAACAUAAACUGGCGACUAUGUUAAAGGUGAGUGGAGUGGUCAGUAGGUAGUGACUAGUGGACUAACGUUAGUAGAAUACCUACCUACUACUUACUCUGAACUCAAAUACCUGCUGAUCGGAUUUCAGUGUAUUUUUUUUUUUUGAAUACUUGACAUAAUGAUUUCCAAGAUACAAAUGUGUUAAACUGUUCUAAGUACAUCAACAUACACUUUGCACAACACGAACAAACAAAAAUAAUACUAAUCUAUUAUAAUGAUUCAUUUUUCAUACUGUACAAAAGAACAUUCUGAAACAAAUCUCUAAACAGGCUCGACCAAUUAUUGAUUUUGUUUCAAAACUUAGCAGACAUAACUCUAUUCAC